Molecule: small nucleolar RNA, 102 nt
Organism: Nycticebus coucang (slow loris)
Lineage: Eukaryota; Metazoa; Chordata; Mammalia; Primates; Lorisidae
Product: small nucleolar RNA U13
Exons: 1
Source: RefSeq, a predicted model, not a curated record
AUCCUUUUUUAGCUCCUGUUGGAUGAUUGAGUUUUCAUGUAGAUGAAUGACGUGUGCCUUUCUCAAACCUUGUUAUGAUUUUGGCCUAUUACCUGUCUGACG